RNAcentral lists this transfer RNA (67 nucleotides) under Satyrium rhynchanthum. Its description in RNAcentral is "partial transfer RNA-Leu". Lineage: Eukaryota; Viridiplantae; Streptophyta; Magnoliopsida; Asparagales; Orchidaceae. The record is from RNAcentral. RNAcentral also lists the same sequence under 1 other name.
AGACGCUACGGACUUGGAAAAUCCGUCGAAUUUUAAAAUCGUGAGGGUUCAAGUCCCUCUAUCCCCA